AGUUUUAUCUCAGACUGCUGUGCUAGCAAUCAGGGAGACUCCGUGGGCGUAGGACCCUCCGAGCCAGGUGCGGGAUAUAAUCUCGUUGUGGGCUGUUUUUUAAGCCCAUCGGAAAAGCGCAGUAUUCAGGUGGGAGUGACCCGAUUUUCCAGGUGCCGUCCGUCACCCCUUUCUUUGACUCAGAAAGGGAACUUCCUGACCCCUUGCGCUUCCCAAGUGAGGCAGUGCCUCGCCCUGCUUUGGCUCGCACAUGGUGCGCGCACCCACUGACCUGUGCCCACUGUCUGGCACUCCCUAGUGAGAUGAACCCAGUACCUCAGAUGGAAAUGCAGAAAUCACCCGUCUUCUGUGUCGCUCACGCUGGGAGCUGUAGACCGGAGCUGUUCCUAUUCGGCCAUCUUGGCUCCUCCGUCAGCUUUACCUUUAAAAACAUUAUGUUUUUAAGUUUGAAGCUAUUUUCGUCUUCUUUCAGAGGCCAAAUAGGUGGUUUCAGCAUUUUGUUGAAAGCAUCUUCCAAAAUUGUAAAUGUAGAAACACAAGAAUGGGCAUUUGGCAAAAGUAGCAUCAAAAAGCAUGUCCCAGAGCGAAAGCCAAGGAGUCUGGCAGACCUGAAGAGGAUUUGGGGAAGAAAAUAAACACUAGCAAUCAGUCCAAUUAGAUGUAGCUGUAAGGUAAGUGUUUUUGUUGAAGGGGCUAUUCGUCUGUGCUUAAACAUUUUUUAUUUUAUUCACAUCAUAUAUGUUGUGCAGAAAACCUUAUUAGUUGUUCCCACAACAACUGAAUAUAAUGCCACAUUUUAUGAAUGAUCCAUAAGCCUUAGUAAUAUUAUGAAAUAAUCUUUAAAAUUAAACUUGUGUAUUCGUUGUCAUUUUGAAAAGAGCAUGUUAAAAAUUUAAUUUAUAAUGUUGUGUGAAUUUUAAUCUGAUGUGUGAAAUUAUAGAAACCACAUAAAGUCUAAACAUAAAUAGAUUUUGUAUGUUACUCUUCCCAAGUAACCUUCAUGUAAGGCUAGCCAUCUUUAUAGUCUACUGAAAACUCUUUUAAAAAUUAUUUGUGUAUGCUACAUAACAUGCAUGUAUACAUCUGUCUUUGUCAUUUGCAUUAAAAAUUGUUAAUAUUGUUUAUCAAUGUGUAAUUAUUUUACAGGAAGAAGAUUUAAAUUGUAUGGCACUUUGUCUUCUUGAUGUUAUAUAAAAACAUACUACCUGAGAUGGCUCAUACCGGUGUGAUUUUCCAGGUAAAUUUAUAGUCUAGUAAUUGGAUAUUAUGAACUGAUAAAAAUAAUGCCAAGAUAACUGAAAAUAUUAAUAGAUUCUGAUCUUUUAUUGCCUGUGAAAGUUUGUUAACUUAUCAAGUAGAUCUGAGAAAAUGAGUUUUACAAGCUAUAUCAACUGAUAGUAUAAAAAUUAUUUAAUAGAUCAUCUUUCCUUUAUACGUAAUAUGACUGUAUACU
Molecule: long non-coding RNA, 1453 nt
Organism: Homo sapiens (human)
Lineage: Eukaryota; Metazoa; Chordata; Mammalia; Primates; Hominidae
Source: Ensembl